AUUGAACGCUGGCGGCAUGCCUUACACAUGCAAGUCGAACGGUAACGCGGGGCAACCUGGCGACGAGUGGCGAAUGGGUGAGUAAUGUAUCGGAACGUGCCCAGUUGUGGGGGAUAACUGCUCGAAAGAGCAGCUAAUACCGCAUACGACCUGAGGGUGAAAGCGGGGGAUCGCAAGACCUCGCGCAAUUGGAGCGGCCGAUAUCAGAUUAGGUAGUUGGUAGGGGUAAAGGCCCACAAGCCAACGAUCUGUAGCUGGUCUGAGAGGACGACCAGCCACACGUGGGACUGA
RNAcentral lists this ribosomal RNA (291 nucleotides) under uncultured bacterium. RNAcentral's name for it is "partial 16S ribosomal RNA". It matches the Rfam family "Bacterial small subunit ribosomal RNA", at positions 30 to 322 of the family's 1533-position model. The record is from RNAcentral.